GUGUCAGCCGCCGCGGUAAUACAGAGGGUGCAAGCGUUGUUCGGAAUUAUUGGGCGUAAAGGGAGUGUAGGCGGUUUGGUAAGUCUUCUGUGAAAUCUACGGGCUUAGCCUGUAACGUGCAGAGGAAACUACCAGGCUUGAGUGUCGGAGAGGAUAGGGGAAUACCCAGUGUAGAGGUGAAAUUCGUAGAGAUUGGGUGGAACACCAGUGGCGAAGGCGCCUAUCUGGCUGACAACUGACGCUGAGACUCGAAAGCAUGGGGAGCAAACAGGAUUAGAAACCCGAGUAGUCC
Molecule: ribosomal RNA, 292 nt
Filed under: uncultured bacterium
Lineage: Bacteria
Description: partial 16S ribosomal RNA
Rfam family: Bacterial small subunit ribosomal RNA
Source: RNAcentral